Molecule: transfer RNA, 65 nt
Filed under: Tirumala limniace
Lineage: Eukaryota; Metazoa; Arthropoda; Insecta; Lepidoptera; Nymphalidae
Description: tRNA-Cys
Source: RNAcentral
AGUCUUAUAUUCAAAAAUAAUGAUAUAAAAUUGCAAAUUUUAAGUUGAAAAAUUUUCUAAGGCUU